GUGUUAAGACUGCGGAAACCAUUUCGAAAAAGUUUCUUUACCUCUUCUGGGCAGUCAAUCUUCAUCUCUUCCAAAUUACAGUAUUCAAGAUCUAACUCCUGAAGAUUCUCCAUGUAUGCUAGAUGUAAGACAUUGAACGGUGCACUUUCACAUUGGUAAACCCAUACAGAUUGCGUGAUGCUCACCAGCUUUGGAUAUUUCAAAAACUUUUGGACAGCAAGUGAACUUCGGAAGGUCCAGCUUAAAACAUUUAAACGCUUCAAACCCAGCAAUUCCUUCAUCAAAGGUUCAGCAUCAGCACAUAGAACGUUAGCUUCUUCUUCUUCUGUUACACUGCAACAACCGCACCCACGCAACCUGAGUACCUCCAAAUUUGAAAAGCCAGAUAUCAAUUGAUGUGGAAUUAUAGACAAAUUAAAUGCAUACUCCAAGUUCAAAUAUCUCAACUUCUCCAACGCCUUCAGCUCUUGCGGCAACCCAGUUAUGUCAGCCGAUGAUAGAUCAAGAUGAUGUAAUGAAACCAAACUUGAAAUCCCUGAAGGUAGUGUACUUAGGUGAAAAUUUUCACUGAGACUUAAUACUCUAAGAGACGACAUAGAUUGAAAGAAGCCGUCAGUGAUCUCCACAAUCGGAUUUUCAUCCACAAGUAAAGUUACGAGACGCGGACACGUGGGAAUUUCCGAUAGGCUUUCAAUUCCAUUUCCCAUCAGAGAUACCCGUUUGGCACCUUCCCAUUCUUCAAUCUUUGGUGCUUCGGUCAAUUUAACUCCAGCGCGAACCAGAAAGUUCUGCUCCUCCUUGUCUACCGUGCACGCUAUCCAUAAUGACAUCUCACGAAUCAUAUCGUGCAUCUUUACAUGAUCAUCGCCUUCUUCCUCCAAUAAGCAUGCUUGAAGAAGGUCAUCAAUAAAAUCGCAUCCAUCAUCAAAAUCAUAUACAAAUCCUUCACUAAUCCAGUAAUCAAUCAAUUCCCUUCUAGGAAUUUCGUAGUCUUCAGGAUAUAAACAACAAUACAGGAGACAGGAACGAAGUUCGUCCGUAGACAAACUAUCAUAGCUGAACUUUAAACGCGAAAACACCUCUUCUUUCAUACCUGAGAAUUUAGAAGCUGAUGUUGUCAUUUUGUGAAUUGCACGUUUCCAAUCUCCAACUUUCCUUUGGCUUUUCAUGGCUCGACCCACUGUUUUAAGCGCUAGCGGCAACCCACCACACUCUCUUGCCAGGGUUUCGGCUAGCUCUGGAAUACUGGUAUGACUGUCAAGAGUGGAUCUGUCGACCAUCUCCUGAAAUAAUUCCCAGGCUUUAUCAUGCGCCAAACUAUACACUUCCAACUUUUUAGCGUCCAUUUGAUCGCAAACACCAGCUGAACGAGUUGUCAAGACUAUUUUGGACCCAUCAUUUAGAUUUUGAAGAGGGACACCCAAUUGUGUUAAAUCAAUGCGCUCCCAUAUAUCAUCCAAUAACAACACAAACUUCUUUCCGCUUAAAAUUCUAGCGAUGUCCGCAGCCUUGUCUCGAAGACUUUUUUUCUCCCAGCUUGGGUCUUCUGAAAAGCCAAUCCUUUUUCCAAUGUCAUCUUGAAGUGUUGACGCAGCCGCCCAGAUAACAACAUCAAAAUUAUGCUGUUGAUGGCAGAAGUUGUUGUUGACUUGUUUUAAAAGGGUAGUUUUGCCGACUCCCCCUAUACCAUACAAGCCGAUAAUUCCCCUGUUAUUUUCCUCAUCAGUGAUACAUCGCCAAACUCGAUCCACUAGUAAUUCUUGACCAACAAUUGUUUGCGCAAGAGGUAAUUCAAUUGCUGCACCAUCUGGCGCCUUCUCAACAACGACUUCAAUUUUUUCUCCGUCCUUCCUUAAAUUGAUCACUCGAUCCGUCAACAUGACCACUUUUCUGCCGAAAUCGUAGCUUGAAGCCAAGUUUUUGGAACAGAGGCCUCCAAGGCACAAUCUAUCCAUUUCUUGAGCUUUAACUUGUUGCAGCUUCGUAAAUUCAUUUUCCAGUUUUUGCACAUCUUCAAGCCACCCUGCGACCUGGUUCGUUCGUCUGGUUCGAGGUCGUUGUUCUUCGACCUCAACCCUGGUCUUCAGAUCGUCCCUUGUUCGAGUCAAUUUGUGCAAUUCAGUCUCCAAGCCCUCAAGAUUUUUUUCGAGACCCCAUAUAUAUUUUGCUUGUUGACCAACGCAGUUUAAAGUUCGAUUAAAAAAGUCUGGUUGUAAGAAAGUUGAGAUUAAGUUACCCAUUGUCGUUCACGAAAAGAGGAAGAGAAGCGAUGGGUACAAUGAAAAGAAUUAUGCUGCUUUGGAGAGGGUUAUAUUUAGAGAAGCACAAUACCGAAAUAAAAAUAUGAUACAUUUGUUGCUUUAUAAUUCAUAUGUCAAAUAUCAAGAAUAUAAUGAUACGCUUACACGUCAUAUAAAAUUUGCAAUUCAACCCAGUAAUCACAUAGUUAAUAUUAAAUCUUAUCAUUUGUUAUCUAAGUGAUAAAUUUAUAUUGAUAAUAUAUUUUUUAGAAUAAAAAUUUUCUACCUUAACUUGGAUGAAGAUUCAAAAUAUUAAGUCAAUGAUAGAUAGAUAAAAAAUAAAAUAAAAUAAAUUUUAACAUUAAUUCCUGGAAUCUGUCACCAUUUUUUUCCCUUAGUAACAACCAUGUUCGCUUGAGAGACCACCACAACAUGAAUAAUUUCUUCUUGGUCGACCAAAUUGGCCUUAAGAGGCUUGUGAUCUCCCUUUCUAUACUUGCAUUUGAUAGCAAAAUGUCCACAAACAUAACAAUUGCCUUUUUAAGGAAUCAAACAAGACUUAAUUAGGCGAUAAACCAGUCUAUUGGCUAGAGCCACUCAAAGUUUGAAUGAAGGUAAUUUUUCUAUCAAGAGAAGAAUUGUAAUCCUUAGAAUAUUUGAGAUGAUUUUGAGUGGUGCCAUAUCAAAAUUGAUAUAUACUAAUUUUGAUAUAUAAUUAUAUGAUUAUAAAUAUAAUGAAUAAUAAUCUAAAAAAAAAUAGGCGAUAAAGUUUAUUACAUCCACGAACAUAAAGGUCACGUUCAAGUAAAUGUGACCGUUGGACGUUGACAGCCCCUAAAAAAGAACCAAAAAAAAUCUAAUUUGAUAAAACGACGUCAGGAUUCGAAAUGGUCACGGGUUAAAAAAUUUAUUGGAAGCAUAAUAUUAACGUGCGCUUGCUUCUUCCAAAACAGCAAGAGACUGAAUGCUGAGCCUCUCUGAAAAAGAAGCUGCGUUCUGUAAGACUGAAACGUUUAGCUGAGACCUUGUGUUAAUUUUUUACAACCCUAAACCCUAAACCCUAAACCACUUGCUCUUAAUUGUCACCCGCAUUACCGUAGGAAUAGGAUUUCUCUCUAUCUCAGUUUUACUAAAUUUUUAAAAAUUUAUUUUUAUGUGUCUUUUAAUUAUAGUAUAUAAAUAAAAUUUUAUUUUUUAAUUUUUUUAAUUUAUUAACUAUCAAUCAUUUUAAAUUAUUUAAUAUGAUCAGAUCAAAAGAAAAUUUUUAUCUUUUAAUUUAACUAUGUCAAUUAAUAUUACAUAUCCUAAUUUUCUUAAAUGAUGCGGCAUUUAUUAAUUAGACACUAAGAUAGCACUAUUAAUUUAUUUAUAUAUUUUAUAAAAAACUAUCAAUCACUUACAUUACAUACUAUAUUCUGAAAAAAAAAUUUGAGUUAUCUAUUAUUAUUUAAAAAGGAGGAGUAAUUUUGGUAUGCUAAGGUUAUUUCACAAACGUAAUAAAGAAAUUUGUGAUGAUGAACACAGUGAUAGGGCAAUUAUUGAAGCAGCAAUGACUUCGUCUGUUGCGCGUGGGAAAUCUAUUAGUAAUAUAAAGGAAAAUAAAAAGUACCCUAUGUCUUUUCAACUAUUAUUAUUUUUCCAAGGCGAACUAGCCAAAUAUGUAUGAUAAAUGUCCCUAAUAUUUUUUCUGUAAAUACAAAGACAAAUUAAAUUCAACUAGAACAAAAGUCUUUCACUGGAACCCAAUAGAUAAAAGACCAAAAUGAUAUCUAGACAUACCUCAUUGUAUAGCAAUGGAAGCUUACAAGUUAAAAUAGUAUUUAUAAUCUUUUGUAACUUUCAAAUUCUGCAUUGGAUUCUGCAACUCAUCAAGAUUAGCUUUUUAGAUCUCAUAUAUAUUUUAGCAUCUCCACGAAGGAAAAAUAAAAUAAAACUGCAAGAAUUGAGUCUGGUGAUAAGAAGCACGCAUGAGAAUGAUGUUACCCAUUUUUGUUAACAAAAAUUUCAAGGAAGAAAAUAAAGUGAGAAAGAAAGAAUUAUGUUUGUGAAAAUGGAAGAGAAGGUAGGAAUUGUAUUAUAAGACUGCAAUGUUAAGUGGCUUGGUUGUGUAGGUGAGACAUUUCAUCGAACUUCUUUACAUUUCCAUCAAACACCUUGUUCUUUAACCGUCUGUGACGUCCUUUAUACCCGUCCAUAGACAUUAAAUUGGCUGAUGUCAAGUGAAUUUGAGACUACAAAUGUGCAGCUCUUGCCUUAAUCUCCUUAGAAUCCUGAAGGGUGAAAACUUAUACCUUAUAGACUUAAGGUACGUUUAGGAUUGAAGUGUUAUAACUUUUAAGCUACAGUUGCUGUAAAAAAAAAAAAUUUAAAUAAUAAUUUUGAUGAAAUUAUUAAUAAUAAUAUAAUAAAUUCUCCAUUAUACAAGUGAAAAAUUAUAUCAACAUAUCUUUCAAGACACAACAAUUAGUAUUUACUAAACACUUUACUACUGUACCUUUUAAGGUACAGGUAUCCAACUUCAAUUCUAAAUGCACUCUCAUAUGUAUACCCUUUAUAUAAGGCUGAUAGAGUAAUGUAAACUAUAUUGUCCUUUUUUUCUUGUGUUAAUUGAAAUAAUUAAAACUCAAAAUUUGUAAGUGAGGCCACUUGAUUGCAGCAAAGGAGAGCAGUGAAGGGAAGAUAAAAUUUUACCGACAUUGAACUUGUUAUUUCUCUCUCUACUAUAUUGUAGUGUUUACUUUUUAGAGUGGGAGUUUGGAGUGUGGAGUGUGGAGUGUGGAUUCCUCCCACUCUCCCACUCUAGUGUUUACUUAUCUUAAAAAAGGGGGAAGUGGGAGUGGGAAUCCGUGGGUCCCACCCAAUUUUGGAGUGGGAAGUGGGAUUCCCACUCCCAUGGGGGGAGGUGGGAGUGGGAAUCCACUCCCCCCUCUUCCCAUUUUAUCCCUAUAAUUAAAUUAAUAAAUAAUAUUUAAUAAAAUAAAUAAUAUCAUAUUUAUUAAAAAUAAUAAUGAUAUCAUAUUUAUUUUAUUAAAUUUAAUAAAAUAAAAAUAAAUAAAUAUUAUAUUUAAAUUAAUAAUAUUAAACAUUAUUAAUUUUAAUAAAUAUUAAUUAAUUAUUUAAUUAAUAAUAAUAAAUAUUUUAUUCUAAAAAAAUAUUAAUUUUGUACUAUAUUAUCAAUAAUAAUAUUUCAUUUGUGUUGUUAUUAUUAAUAAUUUUUAUUCACAUAAUUUAAAUUAAAAUUAAUAAAAAAUUAUGAUUUACAUAAUUAAGAAUAUUAGUAAUUAUUAUUAAUUUAGAAAUAUAAUAAAAUAUUUAUUUUAUUUUCCAAAUAUUUUUUAUUAAUUUUUUAAUUAUAAAUUAUAAUUCUGUACAUAAGGAUAAAAUUGUAAUUUAAAACAAUUUACUCCCAAUCCAAGACAAAGUAAACAAAUAAUUAGGAUUCUGAUUGACAAUCUAUACUUUCACACCCUACUCUACACUCCUAAUCCAAGGAUUCCCACUCCUCAGGAUUCCCACUCCAAUCCAAAAAGUAAACGCAGCAUAUAUAUAUUAGCUUGUUGUUAAUUAUAAUCUUUGCAACCAAAUAAUGUAGAAUAUGUAUACGGGUGCGAAAUUUUCCAUAGGGAAUUCAGUGUUCGAUUUAAACUGCACUUUUAUAGUUUGUUCUCCAUUUACUCCUUACUUUCAGAUCUUUGUGACAAUCACAAUUUUGUCAACCAAAAUAAAGGUCGCAUUCAAGCAAAUUAAAUGUGACCUUUGGACAUUAGCAUCAACCUCUAAAGUGAUAGCAGUAACAAACAGCUCAGCACAAAUAAUUGAGGCCCUGCACUUUCAUUAGAGGAUGGGAGAAGAGAACACUUGAUUUGAUAGCAAGACGCCAAGACCAGGACAGAGACCAAGACGAAGACCGAUGAAAAGCCCUAAACAAACCAAAAAAUAAAAAUAAAAAUGCAGUUAUGAUUAUCGUCGAAUACUUCAAACAUACGACAAGUCCAAGUUUAGCUAAGGCCUAGUGUAUAAAUUUUCUACAAGCUGUUGAAUGAGAAAAUUUGUCUAAUUCUUAAGUCUUACCUGCCAAUCACAUCAUUUUAAAUUUAGUCUGUUGAGUAGAAUUUUACUUUUAUAAUUUUUAUCUCAAAAAUCUAUUUUAAAUUAUAUAAUAUUUAUUAAUUAAAUAAUAAAAUAGCAUAAUUAAUUUAUUUAAAUCCUAUAUUAAAUUAUCAAUCACUAAAUAAAUGACACAUUACAUACUAUAUUAUUUAAAAUAAAAAUUUAAAAUAUUUACCGUUACUUAAAAAAAUUAAUUUCCUUUUCCUAAAGUUAUUUCACAGACGCAAGUACAAAAUUCUGUGAUCAUGCACAAAGUGAUAGGGCAAUUAUUGAAUAAAUAUCUCACCAAAUAUAAUUAUAGCAAAUUAAAUAAAUAUUUACUAUGACUUCAGCAUCUGAGUUCCCACUCUAUAAAUAUGCCAGCAUUUUAAAACAAACAAGACUUAAGCGACAAAUACAAUUUUGUCGACGAGUAAAAAGGUCGCAUUCAAGCCAAAGGAGAAAUUCUUUCCAGUGGGAGGAUUCUAAAACCAAGAAUCCACUGCUGAAAUUUUAUUAACUGAAAAUAGAUAACGAUUGACACACCAGACAACAACAACAAGAUGCAAUUAAAUCUAAUGAAAAUUAAAAAAAGAAAAAAGAAAUACAUAUUCAAACAUAUUAAUGAAAAUCAUCCCCAAGUACGACACCGGAAGAGAAAGCAUUUUGGGUGGCUUGGUCCUCCCAUUGUAGCUCUUCCCACCAUUUUUUCGACCCCUCGAUGACAACUCGACGUUCCUUCGCGCUGCUGGAAUUGAGUGGGAGCUUCUUCAGCUGUCGGCAUUCACGUACUUCAAUUUUCUUCAGCUUUGGAAAGGGCAGGGGAUUCGGGUAAACGCUCUUUAAAUUUCUUCCCCACUUUAUGGUUAGAGAUUCGAGUUGUGCAAAAAAGUUAUGCUCUGACCCGAUUAUCUUCGAAAUAUCUCUCAAUUUAUCAACACUAAUUAUUUCUUCCGUUUCUGUACAAAAGACUAUACGCAGCUGCUUGAGAAUUUGAACAAAAACUAGCCACGUUAAGUCUUUCAUUUUUUUGCAACUCCAUAUGACAACUCUGUCGAGACUGCGGAAACCACUUUGAAAAAGUUUCUUUACCUCUUCUGUGCUGUCAGUCUUCAUCUCUUCCAAAUUACUGUCUGAAAUGCGUAACUCCUGAAGAUUCUCCAUGUAUGCUAGAUGUAAGACAUUGAACGGUGGACUUUCACAUUGGCAAACCAUUACAGAUUGAGUGAUGCUCACCAGCUUUGGAUAUUUCAAAAACUUUUGGACAGCAAGUGAACUUCGGAAGGUCCAGCUUAAAACAUUUAAAUGCUUCAAACCCAGCAAUUCCUUCAUCAAAGGUUCAGCAUCAUCACAUAGAACGUUACCUUCUAUUACGCUCCAGCGACCGCGUGAAAGCAACCUGAGUACCUCCAACUUUGAAAAGCCAGAUAUCAAUUGAUGUGGAAUUAUAGACAAAAACCGUGUAUAGUCCAAGUUCAAAUAUCUCAACUUCUCCAACGCCUUCAGCUCUUGCGGCAACCCAGUUAUGUUAGUCGAUGAUAGAUCAAGAUGAUGUAAUGAAACCAAACCUGAAAUCCCUGAAGGUAGUGUUCUUAGGGGAAAAUUUCCUCUUAGACUUAAUACUCUAAGAGAAGACAUCGAUUGAAAGAAGCCAUCAGUAAUCUCCUCAAUCCGAUUUCCACCCAGAAGUAAAGUUACGAGGCGCGGACACGUGGGAAUUUCCAAUAAGCUCCUAAUUCCAUUUCCCAUCAGAGAUACCCGUUUGGCACCUUCCCAUUCUUCAAACUUUGGUGCUUCGGUCAAUUCAACUCCAGCGCGAACCAGAAAGUUCUGCUCCUCCUUGUCUACCGUGCACGCUAUCCAUAAUGACAUCUCACGAAUCAUAUCGUGCAUCUUUACAUGAUCAUCGCCUUCUUCCUCCAAUAAGCAUGCAUGAAGAAGGUCAUCAAUAAAAUCGCAUCCACCAUCAAAAUCAUAUACAAAUCCUUCACUAAUCCAAUAAUCAAUCAAAUCCCUUUUAGGAAUUUCGUAGUCUUCAGGAUAUAAACAACAAUACAGGAGACAGGAACGAAGUUCGUCCGUAGACAAACUAUCAUAGCUGAACUUUAAACGCGAAAACACCUCUUCUUUCAUACCUGAGAAUUUAGAAGCUGAUGUUCUCAUUUUGUGAAUUGCACGUUUCCAAUCUCCAACUUUCCUUUGGCUUUUCAUGGCUCGACCCACUGUUUUAAGCGCUAGCGGCAACCCACCACACUCUCUUGCCAAGGUUUCGGCUAGCUCUGGAAUACCGGUAUGACUGUCCAGAGUGGAUCUGUCGACCAUCUCCUGAAAUAAUUCCCAGGCUUUAUCAUGCGCCAAACUAUACACUUCCACCUUUUCAGCGUCCAUUUGAUCGCAAACACCAGCUGAACGAGUUGUCAAGACUACUUUGGACCCAUCAUUUAGUUUUUGAAGAGGGACACCCAAUUCUGUUAAAUGAAUGGGUUUCCAUAUAUCAUCCAAUAACAACACAAACUUCCUUCUGCUUAAAAUGCUAGCGAUGUCCACAGCCUUGUCUUGAGGACUUUUUUUCGCCCAGCUUUGGUCUUCUGAAAAGCCAAUCCUUUUUCCAAUGUCAUCUUGAAGUGUUGACGCAGCCGCCCAGAUAACAACAUCAAAAUUAUGCUGUUGAUGGCAGAAGUUGUUGUUGACUUGUUUUAAAAGGGUAGUUUUGCCGACUCCCCCUAUACCAUACAAGCCGAUAAUUCCCCUGUUAUUUUCCUCAUCAGUGAUACAUCUCCAAACUCGAUCAAGUAAUAAUUCUUGACCAACAACUGUGUGCUCAACAGGUAAUUCAAUUGCUGCACCAUCCGGCGCCUUCUCAACAACCACUUCAAUUUUUUCUCCGUCUUUCUUUAAAUUGAUCACUCGAUCCGUCAACUCGACCACCUGAGUCCCGUAAUUGUAGCUUGAAACGAAGUUUUUGGAACAGAGGCCUCCAAGGCACAAUCUAUCGAUUUCAUGAGCUCUAACUCGUUCCAGCUCGGUAAAUUCAGUUUCCAGUUUUUGCACAUCUUCAAGCCACCCUGCGACCUGGUUCGUUCGUCUGGUUCGAGGUCGUUGUUCUUCGACCUCAACCUUGGUCUUCAGAUCGUCCCUUGCUCGAGUCAAUUUGUGCAAUUCAGUCUCCAAGACCCGAAGGUUUUUUUCGAGACCCCAUACAUAAUUUGCUUGUUCACCAACGCAGUUUGAAGUUCGAUCAAAUAAGUCUGCUGGUAAGAAGGUUGAGAUUAGGUUACCCAUUGUCGUUGACGAAAAGAGGAAGAGAAGCAACGAGUACAAUGAAAAGAAUUAAGCUAAUUUUUACUUAAAUUCUUAAGAAUUGCUGUCAAAUGCAAACAGAGUAUGAGAAUCAGGUCUUUAUUGAUUAUGAUGACUUGAAUGAAAAUGAAAUACAGAGCUUUGCUAGUUUACAUACAGAGACAAAAAAUAAUGACAGCUAGCCUAAGGGGUAUUACACGGAAGUAAUCAAAAUUGAUCCGUGAAUAUAGCAAUUGUGAACCAAUCACAUUAAGCUUCUAGAAGAUGCAACUAUUCAAUGCACAUGCGCUGCUAUUCUUCAACAUAACAGUUUUGCCAGCUCAACAAAUCCAACUCACAGAAUCAAGGUCAACCGUUGACUCUUCACAGCUGCUGCUUUCAACAAUUUUUAGAGAACCACAACACCAAAAUAAAAAUAUGAUACAUUUGUUGCUUUAUUCAUUAUGUCAAAUAUCAAGAAUAUAAUGAUACGUUUGCACGUCAUAUAAAAUUUGUAUUUCAACCAAGUAAUCACAUAGUUAAUAUUAAAUCUUAUCAUUUGUUAUCUAAGUGAUAAAUUUAUAUUGACAAUAUAUUAUUUAGAAUAAAAAUUUUCUACCUUAGGUUUGGAUGAAGAUCCAAAAUAUUAAGUCAAUGAUAGAUAGAUAAAAAAUAAAAUAAAAUAAAUUUUAACAUUAAUUUUUUAUUUAAUAAAAAGUAAAUUCAAUACAGAAUUCUAAUCCCUUAAUCUCUCUCCAUCCACGGCAAAAGAAAGCAGCAACUCAACUCUCUUUAAAGGCUAUGGAGGUUCUCUUGCGACCUCUCUUCAGCAUACCCUCCAGAACAUUAACCCCACCACCGCCAUCACCACCCUGUUAAACACGUUUUCAAAACGUGUAUAAUGUGGCCAUCUAAUUUAUUUUUAAUUAUUAGUUUUCUAAUUUAAAUUGAUAUUUAUCUUUAUUUAGUUUACUUUUAAAACGUUGGGUUUGGUUUAAAAUUUGAAUAAAGAUAAAACAUCUCUUCCUAAUAUCUCUCAUACACGUUACGGGUGGUUUACUAAAAUCAAGGGGAUAACGGCUCAUAACUUCCUCUUUUAUUUAAACUUGUCAUCUUGAUGGGAGAUGUUUUACGGUCACGUUUUUUCAAGAAAAAUAUUGAGGGUCCCUGGUCUAACAACAGAGCCUGUGUAUACCAUCUACUCUCAGGAAUUAAGUGUUGGAUAGACUAGAAAAUUCUGAGUACAAAGCAUGGCUUGUUUUCGUUGGUUUUGUUUGCAUUCCAGUAGAAAGGUUGUGUACAAUUGAAUUUGAUAACUAUGGCAGGAGGUAAGUUUUCUAACUUGUGCAUGAUGAAUAUAGUCUUUUACACCCCACCAAUCAUCUCACUCUCAAAACUCUCCAUUUUUGCCUCCAUUAAUUCCCACUCUCUCCAAAACCCUGAUUUCUUCCUCUUCUCGUUUCCUCUCGCCCGCCCCUGGUACGCCAAUUUCCAUUCUCUCGCUCUUUUUUUUGGCAAUUUUGGCUUGAGUUUUUUGGGUUUUUGGUAAUUUAUCUUUAAUUUUUGUGGGUAUCCUUCGUUUUUUUAGUUAUCAUACAUGAGUUGAGUAGUCGUAGACGAUUUUUUAUUGUUUUAAACUGAACGGAUUCUUUGUAUUUCGAAAAUGAAAUUCAUUGUUUGUGAAGUAACUUUUAAAGCUGUUGAGUUGAGUUUGAAAACUUAAUGUGCUUAAAUUUAUCUAUGUGGAUUUGAAUCAGUUAGACAAGCAGCACAGGAGAGCCAAUCGAGCGCGGAGGUGAAUGCCGAUAGAAGAGAAUGGUUUAUGCAAGGUACAUUAAUAGUAAUUUGAUCUGAUGCCAAUUUUAUUUCUAUAUUAAUUUAUUAGAUUAUGUAAUGUUAUAAAUUCUUUGUUCAAAAUGUAGAGCUUGGAAAUUUAGUCGGUACAUUAUGGUAAUGAAUGUAGCUUGUGUAUCUGUUCAAAUUUAUGUCUAGCUUUGCUGUUUUGGUAAUGGUUUGUUUAGUAUAAAUUUUGUGUUGGUUAUGAUGUUGUUUAGUGGUUUGGAUCACUCGUGCUCUUUUGGCCCCCACUAAAAUUAAUUUUUCAUCAAAGGAUAUGAAUAGUUGUUCGAUGGAAACUUAAUGGAAGAUGUGGGAGCAUCUUUAUGAGUUAAGAUUCCCUGUAGCGAGUAUAUCCUUUGGUGCAUGAGAGUUUAAGUGAUUAUCGUCAUUGUUGAGUUAAACAAUGGGAUUAAUUUUCAUGUUCAUGUAAGGUGAUCAUCGCUAAAGUUAGAGCCAUUAGGUGAUAAAUUGAUACUUCAUUGUGUUGUUAUGUUUGUUAUACUGGAUAAAAAUCCCAGUGAUAGAAUUCAUGUUAGGCGGUUUUGGGUCCUAUUCAAUCCCAAAAGAUGAAUAAGGGGUGAGGCUUUCCCUCACAAUUGUAAAAUCACCACCAUCCUAGUUCACAACCGAUAUAAGACAACCCAACAAUCUCUCCCGCACAUAUUGGGCCUUGGUUCAAAAGCAUGGACACUCGUUUUCACUAGUAGGCUGUUGGACUGAGAUGUUGGUGAAUCUUUUAGUUGAUUUUUUUUUUUUUAUAAAAAGGAAAAGAUUAUGAAGAGAUAAAUACAAUAAAGAAAAAAAGAGAUCAAUAUUGCAAUAAAACAUUUAUGUAGUGAUAUUUUAUAUAAGAAUAAUUUCAUAUAGCUAUAAAAGUAAUGGUCCUAAUUUAUAUUAGGCCAAUUAUAAAUAAGAAUAAAUUUCAUGCUGUAAUAAUUUAUAAUUUUGCUAAAUCUCACCUUAAGGAGCUCACCUCCACGUAGUGUAAAUAUAUAUAUAGAAAAAAAAAAUAUGUUAUAUUACAUUAAGUGAACUUGGGGGUUGUUUGGUACCCCUCUUUACCUGGGAUUGCAUUGUGUUAGCAAUGCAACCCCAUGUUUGGGGUACCAAAUGGCUAUAUUAGCUAAACUCGACAUAUAGUCGGGUUUAGCUAAUGCGUCCAGUUACCGCAUUAGCUUUAGCUUCCUCUUUUUUUUUUUUUUUAUACUUUGUAAUAAUGAUAAAUGAAUAUAAUUUUUAAUUUAAUAUUAUAUAAUAUUAUUUUUACUUUAUAAUUUUAAUAUAAAUUAAUAAAUUUAUUGUUUAAUAAUAUUAUAUUAUAUUUUAAUUUUUAUCAUAGUAAAUGUACAACUAAAAAAUGUAUUAUUUAAUUAUAUUACAUUAAUUAAUAUGUAAAAUUAUAUUAAUUAAUAUAUAUAAUUGAUUAAUUUUUAAUAAGUUAAUAUAACUAAUAAUAAAUACUUAAAUAAUAUAAUAUAAUAUAAUAUUAUUUAAUUUAUUAAAAUAAUUAAACUAGUUAUUUUUAAAUAAUUUAAUAUAACUAAUAAUAAAUAUUUAAAUAUGAAUAAAUUUGAAUAAUAUUAAUUAAAAAUUAAUAAAAUAUAUAAUUAUUAGAUUGUUUAGCACAAUUCAUUUUUUAGCACAAUUCAUUAGUAUUUUCUAAAUAUAUAAUUUAAAUUAGUCACAAAAAAUUAAUACAAUAUAGUGCAAUAUCAAAUAUAAUAUAAUUAAAAAUUAAAUAUAAUACAGUAUAGUACCAAACAUUAUACAACAUUAUUAUAAUACAUUACUAAUACAACACAACAUAAUGCAAUACACCUGCAUUAAAAUAAUGCAAUACAAUAUAAUAUAAUACAGCGUGCCAAACGCACUCUUGUAUCCAUAUAGUACAAAAACAACAUAAGAGAAAAAUGUUAAAGAGAACACAAAAGUUCAGAGACUUUUAAGAUAAUGUUUUAUAUUUGUAACAAGCAUGUGCUAACUUUUUUGAAACCAUGUAUAUUUAUUUUUUCCCUAAGUUACAUGCAUGUAACUUAGCAUUAGCCUCAUUUUAUUAUUAUCUAUACAUUGGAUUUGACAUGUUUCAUUAAUAAUUUAUUACUACAUCUCUAUUAAAAUAAUUGAGGUCCUGCACUUUCAUUGGAAGAUAGGAGAAAAAAAUAAUUGAUAAGAGAAGAAAACAAUUUAAAAUAAAAUUUUAAAAUAUUUAUCAUUACUUAAAAAAAUUAAUUUUCUUUUCCUAAAGUUAUUCCACAGACGGUAGUACAAAAUUAUGUGAUCACGCACGCACACAGUGAUAGGGUAAUUAUUGAAACAAAAAUGAAAUUUGUCUGUUUUCCAUUUGAAAUCUAUUACUAAUAUAAAGGAAAAGAAAAAUCUUUAAUUACUUUUUUUUUUUUUCAUGUAGGGCAAGGCAAACAUCACUAUCUUGUUAAAUUAAUAUUUAAAAUUAUCCCACCAAAUGUAAUUAUAACAAAUUAAAUAAAUAUUUACUAUGAGUUCAGCAUCUGGGUUCCCACUCCAUAAAUAUGCCAGCAUUUUAAAACAAACAAGACUUAGAGUGUGUUUGGGAUUGAGGUGCUGUAGCUUUUAAGCUACAGCUGCUGUGAAAAAAAAACUGUAAUUAUGAAACAAAAUUUAAUAAUAUAUAGUAAAUAUAAAUUUUAAAUAAUAAUUUUGAUAAAAAUAUUAAAGAUAUAAUAAAUUUUAUAUUAUACAAGUGAAAAAUCAUAUUAACAUAGCUUAAAAGCUACAGCAGCUAGUGUUUACCAAACACUACAGCUGCCCAACCUCAAUCCCAAACGCACUCUUAAGCGACAAAUACAAUUUUGUCAAUGAGUAUAAAGGUCGCAUUAUAAGCCAAAGGAGAGCAGUUAAGGGAAGAUAAAAUAUUAUUGUAUUGAACUGGUUAUUUCUCUCUAGGGGUGGCAAAAAAGUCUGGGCUGGUCUAGGCCCGCGGGCCUAAAGCCCGGCCCGUAAGGGUGGGCCCAGAUAUUGGCCUAAAAAUUACAAAGCCCACAUAUGUGGGAUCUGGACAAGGGCUUAGCAAAAAAGCCCGGACUUGGCCCAGGCUUUUUAAAUUUAUGAAUAAAAAAUAAAUUUAAUUUAAAUAAAAAAAGAAAAAACUCAAAAUAUUAAAUUAGUUUAAUUUUUUAUAUUAGUAUUUGUUAUUUUAUUAGGUUGUAUUAUUAAUAUUUUAUGUAUUGGACUAUUAUUCUAUUUUAUAUAUUAGAUGAUUAUCUUUAAUUUAAAUUUUUUCUUAAUUUAAAAAAUAUUUUAUAAUUAAUUUAAAAAGCCCAAGCCCGGCCCAGGCCCGGCCCGAGUUCGGUCCGUCCAAAUUUAAACGGGUUUUUGAAGGGCCUGGACUUCGUUUGAAUGAUGUGGGCUUGGGCCUGGGCUUUGAAAAGCCCGGCCCAAACCCGCAAAUUGCCAUCCCUAUUUCUCUCUCUUCUAUUAUUAAUUUGUUGUUAAUUAUAACCUUUGCGGGAUUUAAAAAAAAGAAAAAGGCCCUUGCGUUUUCAUCAACAUUACACUGCCAAAUGUGAAAUGGAUUGAGAACCACAUGUCCUUAUUAUGCUGCCACUCCACAAAUGUUUAUUUUCCCCUCAUUCUCCUUAGAAGCCAGAGGCAGAGUCAGUCCUGCACCCCUUUACGUAUGCCUUCUCCAUAAAUUAACAUAAACGAUUAGUAUUAGAGCUGGCAAAAUGGGUCAUCGGGUCGUGUUUGUAUUGUGUCAGCUUCGUGUCGUGUCAAAUUUAGGUCGACCCAUACUCGACCCAUUUAAUAAUCGUGUCAAAAUAUUGAGACACAAACCCGACACGGAAAAAUAAUCAGGUUAUCCAAUAACCCGCUAUCUAUAUAUUAAACAAAAGUUACAUCAAAUAUUUACACAUUUUCAUACAUACGUAUGCGCAUACAUACAUACAUAAUUUAUUGAUAUUAUAAAAUAUACAUAUCUACUAAAAUAUUAGACACACUAUUGAGGUUUUAAUUAUAUAUGUGUAAAUAAUAUUAUAUAUCAAUAUUAUAAAAUAUAUAUGUCUACGAAUAUUUUAUACAUUUAUACUAGCUCUAAAUGUAUUUAAAAAUUCAUAAAUAAAAUAUUAUGUCUAUAUUCAUCCUUUUAAAGAAUUAAAAAAAAUCAUCUCUAAUAUUUGAGUUUUGGUGACAAGAAUUUACAAAUUAUUUUAAAAUAGAAAAUAUAAUCGGGUCAUUGAUCGGGUAAAUGGGUCAAGAAUUUUAACUCUAACCCGACACGAAAAAAAAUCGUGUUGACCCGGACCCGACCCAUUUAAUAAUCGUGUUAAAUUCAACGACUCAUACCCAUUUAUUAGUGUUGUGUUCGUAUUGGGUAAUCGGGCCGUGUCAAAUUUUGCCAUAUCUAAUUAGUAUAAGAUGAUUUAACCACACAAUAUGUCAAAUUUACAUUUUGCAAUCAUUGAUACUUGGUGCUACAGUCAAAUUUAUAUUUAUUCAAGGUAGCGGGUUCAAUAAUUAAAUUCACAUAAAAAGAAAGAUGCAUUCACCCUUAAUGGCCCAGGAGCCAACCAAAUUCCGCGUCCGCGAAGUGAGGCACUUUUCUUAAAGUUAUUUCACAGACGGAAGAACAAAAUUCUGUGAUCACGCACAAAGUGAUAGGGCAAUUAUUGAAACAUAAAUAAUGUCUAUUUCCCAUCCGAAAUCUGUUCUAAUAUAAAGGACAAGAAAAAGUUUUAAUUAUUAUUAUUAUUAUUUUUCACGUAGGGCAAGGCAAACAUCACUAUCUUGUUAAAUUAACAUUUAACAUUGUCCCACCAAAUAUAAUUAUAACCAAUUAAAUAAAUAUUUACUAUGAGUUCAGCAUCUGAGUUCCCACUCCAUAAAUAUGCCAGUAUUUUAAAACAAACAAGACUUAAGCGACAAAUACAAUUUUGUCACCGAGUGUAAAGGUCGCAUUUUAAGCCAAAGGAGAGCAGUUAAAAGGAAGAUAAAAUAUUACCGUAUUUCUCUCUCUUCUAUUAUUAGUUUGUUGUUAAUUAUAACCCUUUUCGGGAUUAAAAAAAGAAAAGAAAAAGGCCUUUGCGUUUUCUAUUAGCAUGUGUACAUGUUUAUUUUCUGUGUUAGUAGUGCAGAGUAUAUACUGAACACACUGGACAAAAAGGGUAAUUUGUAAUCAAUUUAGUUUUAUAAACAUUAAUCUCGGAAGUAGUUACUGAACUUCAUGUGGAAAAAAAAAUAAAAAAAGAUAGUCGCUGAGCAAUAAAUCUACAAGUCAUCAAAAUCGAGCAAUUCUAUGGCAAGAAUUCUUUCCAGUGGGAGGAUUCUAAAACCAAGAAUCCACUGCUGAAAUUUUAUUCACUGAAAAUAGGGAACGAUUGACACACCAGACAACAAGAACAAGAUGCAAUUAAAUCUAAUGAAAAUUAAAAAAAGAAAAAAGAAAUACAUAUUCAAACAUAUUAAUGAAAAUCAUCCCCAAGUACGACACCGGAAGAGAAAGCAUUUUGGGUGGCUUGAUCCUCCCAUUGUAGCUCUUCCCACCAUUCUUUCUCUCCCUCGAUGACAACUCGACGUUCCUUCACGCUGCUGGAAUUGACUGGGAGCUUCUUCAGCUGUGGGCAUCCACGUACUUGAAUUUUCUUCAGCUUUGGAAGGGGCAGGGGAUUCGGGUAAACGCUCUUUAAAUUUCUUCCCCACUUUAUGGUUAGAGAUUCGAGUUGUGCAAAAAAGUUAUGCUCUGACCCGAUUAUCUCCGAAAUAUCUCUCAAUUUAUCAACACUAAUUAUUUCUUCCAUUUCUGUACAAAAGACUAUACGCAGCUGCUUGAGAAUUUGAACAAAAACUAGCCACGUUAAGUCUUUCAUUUUUUUGCAACUGCUUAUGACAACUCUGUCGAGACUGCGGAAACCACUUUGAAAAAGCUUCUUCACCUCUUCUGUGCUGUCAAUCUUCAUCUCUUCCAAGUUAAUGUCUUCAAGAUCUAACUCCUGAAGAUUCUCCAUGUAUGCGAGAUGUAAGAGAUUGAACGGUGCACUUUUACAAUGGUAAACCAAUACAAAUUGAGUGAUGCUCACCAGCUUUGGAUAUUUCAAAAACUUUUGGACAGCAAGUGAACUUCCGAAGGACCAGCUUAAAACAUUUAAAUGCUUCAAACCCAGCAAUUCCUUCAUCAAAGGUUCAGCACCAUCACAUAGAACGUUACCUUCUUUCCCUUUUAUUACCGAAAGCGACCGCACCCACGCAACCUGAGUACCUCCAACUUUGAAAAGCCAGAUAUCAAUUCAUGUGGAAUUAUAGACAAAUGAAAUGCAUAGUCCAAGUUCAAAUAUCUCAGCUUCUCCAAUGCCUUCAGCUCUUGCGGCAACCCAGUUAUGUCAGUCGAUGAAAGAUCAAGAUGAUGUAAUGAAACCAAACUUGAAAUCCCUGAAGGUAGUUUACUUAGGGAAAGAUUUAUUCGUAGACUUAAUACUCUAAGAGAAGACAUCGAUUGAAAGAAGCCAUCAGUAAUCUCCUCAAUCCAAUUUCCAUCCAGAAGUAAAGUGACGAGACGUGGACACGUGGGAAUUUCCGAUAGGCUUUGAAUUCUAGUUUUCAUCAGAGAUAUCCGUUUGGCACCUUCCCAUUCUUCAACCUUUGGUGCUUCGGUCAGUUUAACUCCAGCGUGAACCAGAAAGUUCUGCUCCUCCUUGUCUACCGUGCACGCUAUCCAUAAUGACAUCUCACGAAUCAUAUCGUGCAUCUUUACAUGAUCAUCGCCUUCUUCCUCCAAUAAGCAUGCUUGAAGAAGGUCAUCAAUAAAAUCGCAUCCAUCAUCAAAAUCACACACAAAUCCUUCACUAAUCCAGUAAUCAAUCAAUUCCCUUCUAGGAAUUUCGUAGUCUUCAGGGUACAAACAACAAUACAGGAGACAGGAACGAAGUUCGUCCGUAGACAAACUAUCAUAGCUGAACUUUAAACGCGAAAACACCUCUUCUUUCAUACCUGAGCAUUUAGAAGCUGAUGUUCUCAUUUUGUGAAUUGCACGUUUCCAAUCUCCAACUUUCCUUUGGCUUUUCAUCGCUCGACCCACUGUUUUAAGCGCUAGCGGCAACCCACCACACUCUCUUGCCAAGGUUUCGGCUAGCUCUGGAAUACUGGUAUGACUGUCAAGAGUGGAUCUUUCGACCAUCUCCUGAAAUAAUUCCCAGGCUUUAUCAUGCGCCAAACUAUACACUUCCACCUUUUCAGCGUCCAUUUGAUCGCAAACACCAGCUGAACGAGUUGUCAAGACUACUUUGGACCCAUCAUUUAGUUUUUGAAGAGGGACACCCAAUUGUGUUAAAUCAAUGCGUUCCCAUAUAUCAUCCAAUAACAACACAAACUUCUUUCCGCUUAAAAUUCUAGCGAUGUCCGCAGCCUUGUCUCGAGGACUUUUUUUCUCCCACCUUUGGUCUUCUGAAAAGCCAAUCCUUUUUCCAAUGUCAUCUUGAAGUGUUGACGCAACCGCCCAGAUAACAACAUCAAAAUUAUGCUGUUGAUGGCAGAAGUUGUUGUUGACUUGUUUUAAAAGGGUAGUUUUGCCGGCUCCCCCUAUACCAUACAAGCCGAUAAUUCCCCUGUUCUUUUCCUGAUCAGUGAUACAUCUCCAAACUUGAUCAAGUAAUAGUUCUUGACCAACAACUGUGUGAUCAAGAGGUAAUUCAAUUGCUGCACCAUCUGGCGCCUUCUCAACAACGACUUCAAUUUUUUCUCCGUCUUUCUUUAAAUUGAUCACUCGAUCCGUCAACUCGACCACCUGAGUCCCGUAAUUGUAGCUUGAAACGAAGUUUUUGGAACAGAGGCCUCCAAGGCACAAUCUAUCCAUUUCUUGAGCUCUAACUCGUUCCAGCUCGGUAAAUUCAGUUUCCAGAUUUUGCACAUCUUCAAGCCACCCUGCGACCUGGUUCGUUCGUCUGGUUCGAGGUCGUUGUUCUUCGACCUCAACCUUGGUCUUCAGAUCGUCCCUUGCUCGAGUCAAUUUGUGCAAUUCAGUCUCCAAGACCCGAAGAUUUUUUUCGAGACCCCAUACAUAUUUUGCUUGUUCACCAACGCAGUUUGAAGUUCGAUCAAAUAAGUCUGCUGGUAAGAAGGUUGAGAUUAAGUUACCCAUUGUCGUUGACGAAAAGAGGAAGAGAAGCAAUGAGUACAAUGAAAAGAAUUAUGCUGCUUUGGAGAGGGUUAUAUUUGGAGAAGCACAAUACCGAAAUAAAAAUAUGAUACAUUUGUUGCUUUAUAAUUCAUAUGUCAAAUAUCGCGAACAUAAUGAUACGUUUACACGUCAUAUAAAAUUUGUAAUUCAUUUCAGUAAUGACAGAAUUAAUAUUAAAUCUUAUCAUUUAUUAUUUAAGUGAUAAAUUUAUAUUGAGAAUAUUUAUUUAGAAUAAAAAUUUUGUGCCUUUACUUUGGAUGAAGAUUCAAAAUAUUAAGUCAAUGAUAGCUAGAUAAAAAAAUAAAAUAAAAUAAAAUAAAUUUUAACAUAAAUUUUUUAUUUAAUAAAAAAUAAAUUCAAUAUAAAAUUCUAAUCCCUUAGAUUUACAAGUGCAAUCAUUGAUGAUGUAAAGAAUUAUUAUUUUUUUGGUUAAAAUACUAAGAUAUGGACAGUCAAUCAUUAGCCAUAUGGAUUCAAUUUCUUGAUCGACCAAAAACCUUGUUUCGACUGAAAUCUAUACGUGCAAGUGAACAUAAAUGAACAAGCUUUCAUCUGGAUUUACAGAGUGUGAAGUAAAUGGUGCGCGGUUGGAGGGGGGGGGAGCUUAAAUGGCAUGUUUUAUUCAAACGAUGCUGCAACUGCAGUUCUUAGUAGUUGGAUUCAGAAAACUAAGCUUCGAUAUCAUGACAUAACAAAAGAUGCAAUAAAAAUUGCACGGACAUAAUAGUUGUCAUGCUUCCAUAACAACGUUACCAAGUCGGUAAAAGCUAGGAAUAACAAAACACAUAAAAGUAGUUUCAUAUUAGAGAAUAUCUGAAUUUCCUGGUUGGUGGAGUUUCUUUGAUGAUCUUGUUCGAAAGCUAAUACCAUUCAACUCUAAAAUGUACCUCAAAGUAUCAAUCAUCUCAAUUAACUAGCCACAAAGUUUCCUUAGCUUGCCACAGUUCAGUUGUAGCAAACUACCAAAGCCCAUUUGACAAGCAGCCACUCUUUGUUCAUCUGUCAGCUGUGAAAGUGCCACCGCUAAUCUAUCUGGAGUCCAUCUGGUUAAGAACUUUGCCUUUGCGACUGCUGACUUCACUAUUCGUUCGCAUUGACUUUGUAUUGACAUUUUUUACCCGGCGGUAAAUUCUUAAACAUGGAUUCAAUUUCCGUCCAGUACACAAUCAUGGCAAAUAAACUAACUACGCCUUCACUACUUGAAAAUACAAAUUUAUUUUAUUUGUAACGCAAGUCAUUCCAUCGCUUGCCUUAACCUCACGCACGGCUUCACCGCUGCAAUAUCAUCAUAUGACUGCGAAAUUAUAUAUCUCUAUAAUUUUGUGAUGCAUAUGCAUUUUGCUUUUCAUGCCCUUGCAUUACUGAGCUGAUUUAUAUUCUCUGCUUGCAGUUUCAUUCACUAAUAUCCUUUAAUUGUUGUCAACGUCUUCUGGUCUAUAUUUGAUGAGCAUAGUAAAUACCUACUUUUGAUGCUCCAUAUACAAGUAUUAUCAGUCUGUUGCAAAUAGAUGUUUAUCACUAAUGUUGAAAUCGUAAAAUUUUAGACAUACUAGAACCUAAAAUCAAUGAUCCAAAGAGCCAUCGCCGUUUUUUGGAGCAGUUCUUGCAAUAGAUUCCCACUGUGGUUUUGAUUAAUUUGGUCAUGAUGCUUGUGUGCAGUGAUACUGGUAGGAAAGUUGAUGAUCCUGAGGUGCUUGAGGCAAUUCGUUUGACAGUUAUAAACAAUCUACUUCAGUAUCACCCAGUAAUCAUUUUUUUGUCUCUCUUGAGAUAUAACUUGGUGGAGCACCUGUAGGAAUUGUCUUAUUGAAAAGCUUAUUCCAUUUGUGUUGGUGUUGGAAUCAGGAAUCAAGUUCCCAGUUUGCAAUGGGUGUUGCCUUUGGCGUUGAUCCUCCAAAACAACAGGUUUUUGCUUUCUGGUCUUAUUUUGAUUUUUCAGAUUAUUGAUAUUUUUGGCUCUUCUCAGUAGUGGAUCAUUUGAAUAGGAAACUAAGUUGUUUUUAGAGUUCUCUUAGGCCAAAUAUUACUUCACUUUUAUCCUCAUUUUAUUUAAAGACAUUAUAUUCAAUUUGCCUGCCAUUGAAAUUAAUAUCAUGUUGUCAUGAAUGUUAAAAACUAUGCAUAUGAGUUAUUAUGGGAAGGAUAAUGUCCCACUUCAAUCUUGUCUCAAAUCUUGUUGUGCUGGAAUUUGUCAGGUUGAUGUGGACAUAGCAACCCACAUAAGCAUCUAUGAUGAUGGCCCCAACCGAAGGUAAUGCAUAAUUCAUUCUCUUAUCUAGAUGAUGGGGCUUUUGCUAUCCACCAAACUUUGGUCCCACACUAUUACUACUCAUACUCCAGCCCAAGUGGCAAUUUCCUGCCCAUAACUGAAGUAGUCAGAUAAUUUGGCCCUUACUAUUUUUGUUUAUUUUACCUUUUGUUUUAUUGAAGUUUGCUUUUGGUGGAGACGGCUGAUCGACCUGGAUUAUUGGUGGAUCUUGUAAAGAUUUUUACUGUCAUCAAUGUCAAUGUUGAAUCGGGAGAGUUUGAUACUGAGGUAGUGAGGUAAUCUUUUAUAACAAACUCUAUAUAUAUAUAUAUUGACAAAAGAGUGGCCUUCCCUUAUAAAUAUAUUUUGUUCUAAUUUUUGUUUUCGCACCCAGGAGUUGUUGGCUAAGGCAAAGUUUCAUGUCAGCUACAAGGGUGAAGCCAUUAUCAAGCCUCUCCAACAGGUAAAAACAACAGGCCUACAUAUAGGACAUCGGAAAUUGCUUUAUAGAUUGUUUGCUCUGAAGAAUAAAGAGACUUACCAUUUCUACUCAAAAUCGGUAUUCUAGUUGCAAAACUGUUCUUAUAUAAAAGAUUUGAAUUUAAACUUUGAAGUGGGCGGUAAGAACAUUAACGUGCUAAUGAUCACACGGUGCACCUGAAGGCUUGGACGAUCGUUGAUGUACUGAUUAGACUUUGCUUGAUCAAAUUUGCAGGUUCUUGCUAACAGUUUGCGAUAUUUCUUGAGGCGACCAACAACCGAGGAGGCAAGUUUUUGAGCUCUUGUUGAAGACUCCACCAACCAAAUUCAGGAUUACACACACUUGAUGAAUUUUUUUAUUUCUCUCCCCAGUAAACAUUCACAAGGGGAAUUACAAUAUGUUGUCUCCCUAAUCUCCUUACAUAAAAUAAAUAAAACAUGAGAUAUAUAUAAACGGACAACAUUUUAAUGAUAUAUCAUAUGGUAAACACUUAUAAAAUAGAAACCUUGCUAAUUUUAUCAUCCUCAUCAAUUCAUAGUCCUUUUUAAAUAAUUUUCAAGUUUAGGGAUAUGAUAUAGCUGUGUUGUAUUACUCAUAUUAAUCUUAAGCCUAAAGUUUGCAAUGGGUUGAUGAGCAUACAACCUUUUUCUAUUCAUGGAUUAAAAUAAUAAUAAUAUUAUUAUUAUUAGUUUUUUUUUUUUUUAUGUGAACCUUAGUUUACAUCCUAAAUUUUCCUAUAUCAACAUUUCAUUCCAGUACGCAAACAAGAUACAUCACUAUGGUUUCUUUAAUUUCAUUCUGUUUUCAUGCUUUGAAAAUUAGCGUCAUGACAUUGAUUCAGCAACUUUCACAAAACAGAAACAUAAAGGAGAUUUUUACCAUGUGGCUUUGGUGCAUUGGUCAUCAAAAUCUGCACAAUUAAUUAUAAAGAAUAUACGAUGUUUGCGCGUGCAAUUAUGAACGACUCAUCUUAUAUCAACUUAAGGGCAAAAUUAUUUUAAAAUCUCUUUGUAUAUAUGUUACAAUGUCAUUAAUUUUUUUUGUCAAUGGUCAUAGUUUAUUUAAUUGGCUACCAUUUUUAAGUUUCUUAUGACAGUUAACGGGUGAGGUAAAUCGAACACUUAAUUUUUUUAUAUUUAUAUCGUCAAUGGUGGAUUCAAGAAAAUAAUUUAUCGAUGACUAAAUUAUAUGACGACACGAUUCGAAAACUCAAAUUUUAUAGGUUUAAUAAAAACUAAAUUAAAUAAUAGUAAACCACCUAUAUGGGUUACCUCAUAACUUUUUAUAUUUUAAUUAAAGUGUGGUUUUUGUAAUUCUCAAAAUUAAAAUUUUAUAAAUUUUGAAUUUAUAAGACUAUUUUUAUAAAUUUAACUUGCCUAUUUUAAUAUAUUCAACAGAAUUAAUUAAUAACUCAAAUAUUUUUUUUAAUUAUUCUCUCUGUCCCACUAAUCAUGAGGUGAAUCCACCUCUAUAUCUCAUUUUAUAUUGUGUAAUCUCGUUAUGACUAAAAAGUACCUCCCUUAGAUUCAACUACUUAUCUAGGGAAAGUUUUUAAAAGCUGAGUCCACAAGCCAUGUCCCAUAACUUAGAUGACUGAAAAACAAAAACAAAACAAAAGGGAACAAAAGAAGGCCAUGCGGCCCAUGCUCUGCAAUGAGUGCUCCCUAAUGAUCAAGAAAGAGUAUUAUAAUUUAAUAUUUAUCCAAACAGAAAAUGACGUACACGGGAACAAUAAAUGAUCUCCCUAGAGAUGAGAGAAAUGGAUAACAAUAUUCUCUUAUUUAACUUCACUAUAUAAAGAGCUCUCUAUCAAAAUCAUAAUUCAAUUCAUUCCACCCACAUUGUUUGGAAAGAGAGAAAGUGAGAGAAAAAAGAAGGAAAAUAUGACAGGAUCAUUUGCUAGAGGAGCUCCCACCUUUAACUCCAUGUUUUUCAAGUAAUGUUUUCAUUAUCUAUCUACUUUGCUAUUUCAUCAUUUCAUUUUGACAAUCGCACUUCAUUAUUGCAUGGUAUGUUUGUAAAUAAAUGUUUUCACUUUAUCUAAAUUAAUUUUGUUAUGAAACAGUUCGUUCGAAAUAGGCCUAAUAGUUUCAAAUUAUUUAUUUACUAAUUAUGAGUGGUUGGUUAAGUACAUAGAAUUAAAUGUUUUAUUAACUGAACCAAUAUGUCUCCACAGGGGCCUCAGGUUAAAAAAAAUUAUCAAGAAAUAUGAAAGUCUUCAAUUAAAUUUGUCUCUGUGUCUGAUAAUUUUAUUUUGUAGCCCCCAUAUGUUUAUAUUCUUGUGGUAUAACCUACUUAAAAUUUGUUGUUUCUGUAUGAUUGAUGACAUCCAAAAUCCUGAUUUCGCCACUGUCCACGCAAUAAUAAAAAGAGAUUGCUUUCAUUCAUUUGAGUGUUUGAAUAUUUUACUCUUUGUUUUUGCAUUAUUAAUUUGUUGAGUCUUUUUGAAACAUAUAGGCCAAUGAUGAGGAAAUCCUUUCAAAAGAAAACAAGUUCUUAUGAUAUGAUGAGAGAAACAACAUUGAAAUCCAAUGCAGAAGAAGGAAAUGUGAUGAGGAGCCAACAGUUGAAUAAUAAUGUGGGAGAAAAUGAAGGGAAUUGUGGUUGGGUUCCUCAUGAAAGAACUGGGAUUUAUUACCCAAAAGGCCAUGAAAAAGUUAUUGACGAUGUUCCUCCUAGCGCUGGAAGAGAUUUUGAAGUUAAUUGGUUCUCAGAAACUCAUGGAUAAUUUAUGGAUAUGUUUUUUUUUUUUCAAAUUACUACACAUGCUUAAAGCGAAAAGGCUUUCUAUUGUCUCAAAGCAAAAUCCGAUUGUGAAAAAAAAAAUUAAAAUAAAAUAACAAUAAUGGAAAAUGAAAUCAUUUAGAUUCAGCUCAAUGCUAAGCAUUCCAAAAUUUAAGUUUCAAAAGAUAUGACAAUCAUUUAUUAGAUGGUGGUUAAAUAAUUUUACAAGUUAUGAAAUCUAUCGUCUAAUAAAUGAAUAACGUGUGACUUUUAAGACUUAAGAAGUUAAGACUAAAAAAUUAGGAUCUUAAUAUUAUUCUUACUUUUAUAUCAUCUUUUUAUUUAGGUCUAUUGUUUAUUGUCGUCUGAUUCUUCAAGCUAAAUGUACAAAACUACAAAUGGAUUAGGUGGGCCUCGCAUGGGCUUAAUUUUUUGUUAUGGCUCAUGAGUGGUCCUAUUGGUACCCCUAAAAAACCUUCUCAAACCCUUCUUUUAUAAUCAUGCAUUUGUCCCUAUUUAAAUUUACAAUGAUAAACAGAAGAAAUUAAAUUUUAUUCAAAUAACUAGUCUCCAUAAUUACAAUCAUGUGAAACCAAAACUCGACUUAACAAUUUAUUAUUUAUUUUGACGAUAUUUAGUUGACAUUCCUUGUUUAUCAAAGCACAAUGUAUUUUCUUAAAUUUUGAUAAAAUUUUAAUUAUUUUGUUAUUAUUAUUUAAGAUGAAACCUUAAAAUAUCAAUAACCAAUGUUGGAUGUUGUUAUAAGAAAUUCUAAUGAAAAUAUUAUGGAAAUAGCUUUUAAAAUUAUAAGUUCUAAUGGAGAUAAUGAUUAUUCGAAAGUUGAUGCCAUCAGAUUUGGGUUUCAAGCUCCCCAAGACGAAGAAAAUGUGAAAAUGGGGUUGGUGUGUAAACCAAGGGUGUUUUUGGAAUCAACUUAUGUGGGUUUAGAAAUCGAGUGAGGCUAUAUACACUCUAAAAAUUACACUAAACACCAUAAUUUUAUAAAAAAAUUUAUUUCAAUAAUAUUUAUGGUAUAAAUUAUUAUUAAGGACAUGACAAUUAUUAAUUUUUUUUGUAUGACUAUAAUUACUUCUUUUUCAGUUAUAUUAUGAUGAUAUUAAACAAGUUUACAUUGGUUGCUUGAUUUUUUCUUUUGGCCAAAAAAUACAUGUCAUUCCACAAUACCAGAGUAACAUGGACAAUUAUUCAGACUCUUACAAACUAGUCUGCAACUGAGGCAUUACAACCCAGCAAACAUUUUUGCGACAUAAAAAUGUUCAGACAAAUCCAGAUUAAAAAAAAAAGGGCUUAAUUUACCAUCCUCUUUUGACAAACUUUGAAUUUUCUGACAUUCAAUUGGAGGUGGAAGUGGCAUCAUAGUUGUACUGAAGAAGAUCGUCAUAAGGGUCCCAGGCACCUACUCUGAAUCAUUCUUUCUUGUCCCUCUCUUUCAAGUCCUCCAUCAACCUCAAAAUCAUAUUCUCAGCAAUUAAAAAUUUCAUCUUCACUUCUCUUCUUGAUUCUAAGCUCAGAACUAUGAAGCGCAAGCUGCGUCUUUUAUUUAGCUAAAUGAUAUAUUGGUUAAUUGAUUUAUUUGUUCGGAUUAUAAUGUUUAUUUCUCACGAUCUUUUCAUUGGUGAAAUUUUUUGAUGGAUUUUUUUAGUUGCUCCUUUAUCAUUCUUCAUUUAUUGGAGAAAUAUAUUAUACAACCAAAUAAUUAAAUUUUAAUGAUAAAAGAGUGUUUAGAGAAAUAUUUUGAAUAUGUAAGGCGUUUUCAUGAGUGUGUUAGAGUAAAUUAAUUUAAAAAGGAUUAAAUGAGUACAUUUUUGGUACUUUAAGGAAUGUACAAAAUAUAGUUCAUUUUUUUAAAUUAAUAAAUAAGUGUAUAUAGUAAUAAAACUUUGAGAAUAAUUUUUAGACUACAAAUAACUCUGCCCUUAGAAAUAAUAUUAUUUUUUGAAUGAUUUAGUGGGCAUAUUGAAUAAAGAUUUUUAUGAGGGCUUUCAAAGGUGCGAUAGUUCUACUCAUGACUCAUUUUUCUGCUAUUAGGAUUUACUCUUUGUUUCGUACUUUCAUUUGAGUGGAGCUCUCUCUGUCUCUCUCUCUCUCUCUUUGGAAAUGGAAAGCUUCAAUCAAUCACUUCAAGGAAAAAGACUUACAUGAGUUGAAAUUUCCUCCAGCCAAAUUACACGGCCCGAAUUGUUAACAUCAUAUUUAUCUAAUUUAUGAGCGGUCUCACUACUACUGCUCAGUAUAAGAUUGAUUUUGAAGUGGUCUUUCACAACCAUACAAUUUCGAAUCUCGAAAAUUAACCAUGAUAUUUCUUUCAUACUUCUUUCAAAACCUUUCGCCAAGUUUAAAAUAGUCUUCGAGUCUGAUUCAACAAUUAAUGGCAUUAAACCAAAGUCUAUUGCCAUUUUUAUUCUAAAAUUCAUAUCUUCAGCUUUAGCAUAUUCAACGUCCCCAUGAAAAUCUAUAUUCUGAAUUCCUACACUCCAAAAUCCUUAUAAAGCUUGUUUUAAUUUUUAUUUAUCAAAGUACCUUGGUUUAAUUUAUAAAAUACUAAUCCAUAAAUUAAAAUUAAUAAUCUUCUCAUUAAAUUUCACCUUAAAAAGAUUAUAAAUUAUUAAAAGUUUCUAAAAAUUAUAUAUAUAUAUAUAUAUAUAUAUAUGAAAUGAGGUGGGUGGAAAAAUGUUAAAAGAAUAAUUUUAUUUAAGUAUUAAUUAAAUUUUCAAUCAAAAUAAAAAUGGAAUUAAUUUAUCUUUAAUUAUUUAAAUAAUUUUAAUUAAAGAGUUAUAAGGAAUUUAAAGGAGGGUCUUAUAGGGGGUGUCAAAAGGCUGCGAUCUAAUGCUUCCGUUCAUCACAAUCUGCUACUGCGAUUGAUCGCGAUCUGCAGCCGUGGUCGCGCUCGUCCUGUCGCCGUUUGUCGUCGCGAUCUGUUACCUUCGGUGAAGAGGAGCACAAUGUUUGUUUUGGGAAUUAUAAUUUUAUAUUUUAAAUUAUUAAUUUCUUAUAUUGUUUGGCCACUGAUUGUACAUUAAAAUUAUAUAGAUUGGUGUUUGUAUUAUUUCAUUGUUUGCUUAUUUGUUAUUAAUGUUAUUAUUGUUUAUUAUUAUUAUUAUUAUUAUUAUUGUAGUAUUAGUAGUUGUUAUUUAAUUUCAUUAUUAUCAUUAAUUAUUACUAUUAUUUAUUUAUAAUGUUAUUAUUAAAUUUAUUAUUAUUAUCAUUAAUACCAAAGGACAACUAUUAUUAUUAUUAUUAUUAUUAUUAACAACUAAGGGCGUUUUAGUAACUUAAAACAACUUAACAUAUUCCGAUUCCGAUUCUUAGAUAAAGUAAACACAUCAAUGGGGUUUUAACUCAUUCCGAUUCCAAUUCCGAUUGCUACAGUUUAAGUAAACAACUUAUUUUGAUUCUCAUUCCUCAUUUUCAUUCCGAUUCUAACCCAUUCCGAUUACUGACAAGUAAACGCAUUAUAAAGGAAAGGAAAAAAAAUUAAUUAUUUUUUUUACCAAAUAUAAUUAUAACAAAUUAACUAAAUAUUUACUAAGAGUUCAGCAUCUGAGUUCCCAAUCCAUAAAUAUGCCAGCAUUUUAAAACAAACAAGACUUAAGCGACAAAUACAAUUUUGUCGACGAGUAUAAAGGUCGCAUUAUAAGCCAAAGGCGAGCAGUUAAGAGAAGAUAAAAUUUUACCGUAUUAAACUUGUAAUUGUGGAUGCCUGGCCUGGUGUUAAAAAGGAUUUAGAGCCACAAAAAGUUUUUGACCAAACCAAAAAGAAGUAGCAAAGCAAAAAAAGGAUAAUAGCAAAGCAAUAAAUCUACAAGUCAUCACAAUCAUGCAACUCUAUAGCAAGAAAAAAAGAAAAAGAAAAAGGAAAUACAUAUUCAAACAUAUUAAUAAUAAGGAUCCUCCCAAAGUACGGCACAGGAAAAGAAAGCAUUUUGGGUGGCUUGUUCCUCCCAUUGUAGCUCUUCCCACCAUUUUUUCGUUCCCUCGAUGACAACUCGACGUCCCUUCGCGCUGCUGGAAUUGAGUGGGAGCUUCUUCAGCUGUCGGCAAUGAAAUACUUGAAUUUUCUUCAGCUUUGGAAAGGGCAGGGGAUUCGGGUAAACGCUCUUUAAAUUUGUUCCCCGCCACAUGGUUAGAUAUUCGAGUCGUGCGAAAAAGUUAUGCUCUGACCUGAUUAUCUCUGAAAUAUCACUCAAUUUAUCAACACUGAUUAUUUCUUCCAUAGUAAAACCCUGCAUAUUUAGCUGCUCGAGGUUUUGAACAAAAACAAGCCACGUUAAGUCCUUCCCUCUGCAAGACCUUAGGACAACUGUGUUAAGACUGCGGAAACCAUUUCGAAAAAGUUUCUUUACCUCUUCUGUGCUGUCAAUCUUCAUCUCUUCCAACUUAGAGGAUUCAAGUUCUAACUCCUGAAGAUUCUCCAUGUAUGCCAGAUGUAAGACAUUGAACGGUGGCCUUGUAUACGUGCCACAUUCAACCCAUACAGAUUGAGUGAUGCUCACCAGCUUUGGAUAUUUCAAAAACUUUUGGACAGCAAGUGAACUUCGGAAGGACCAGCUUAAAACAUUUAAAUGCUUCAAACCCAGCAAUUCCUUCAUCAAAGGUUCAGCAUCAUCACAUAGAACGUUACCUUCUUCUUCUUCU
Molecule: long non-coding RNA, 29702 nt
Filed under: Citrus maxima (pomelo)
Lineage: Eukaryota; Viridiplantae; Streptophyta; Magnoliopsida; Sapindales; Rutaceae
Description: long non-coding RNA (CMAX_LNC002006)
Source: RNAcentral